GAUGAAGAACGUAGCGAAAUGCGAUAAGUAAUGUGAAUUGCAGAAUUCAGUGAAUCAUCGAAUCUUUGAACGCACAUUGCGCCCGCCAGUACUCUGGCGGGCAUGCCUGUUCGAGCGUCAUUUCAACCAUCAAGCCCCCGGCUUGUGUUGGGGACCUGCGGCUGCCGCAGGCCCUGAAAACCAGUGGCGGGCUCGCUGUCACACCGAGCGUAGUAGAUUUUCAUCUCGCUCAGGGCGUGCUGCGGGUUCCGGCCGUAAAAAGCCUUAUUUACCCAAGGUUGACCUCGGAUCAGGUAGGAAGACCCGCUGAACUUAAGCAUAUCAAUAGCGGAGGA
Molecule: unclassified non-coding RNA, 335 nt
Filed under: soil metagenome
Description: partial contains 5.8S ribosomal RNA, internal transcribed spacer 2, and large subunit ribosomal RNA
Rfam family: 5.8S ribosomal RNA (bases 1-120)
Source: RNAcentral